This 696-nucleotide long non-coding RNA is filed under the name Homo sapiens (human). RNAcentral's name for it is "non-protein coding MIR22HG:28". The record is from RNAcentral. Lineage: Eukaryota; Metazoa; Chordata; Mammalia; Primates; Hominidae.
AGUAGGCCUGAGUCAGUGAAGAGCUUUGGAGGGCGGGACUGAAUGGGGGUUAAUCAGAGGAUGCGAUUGCUGACCCUUUGCACUUUGGCAUGGCCCAUCCCCUAAUUUCUGACCAGAAGCCCUCCCUCUACCCUAAGGUGAGGACUGUGCUAUGAAUCUUUUGUUAGAAAGCUACCUCUUGGGAGGCUCUGGGGGCUCUUCUGGGACUGGGAAGAGACAUCCAAGAAAAAAAGCCUCCUGUGGUUAGGAAGAGCCCCCAGGAGGAGUGGGCUGGGCGAGGCGAGCACCCUCCCUCCUCCAAAAACCCUGGAGAGCUCUCCAACGGCAGUCUCUGCUGCCCUGGGGGCUGACGCUCUGCCCACUCCUGCUCCUUGGUCCGCUCCACCUUUCCUUAAAGAGCUAUAGCGUCCCGCAGAGGCCGGCGAGUCAGUUUGGGGAAUGUCUAAAAGAAGCACUCACGACUCCAACAAGGAGGGGCUGUCGCCCUUUAAGGACUUCCCCGGGCUGGAUUCCGAGCUCAGUUUAAAAAUGCCAACUCACAGAGCGCGCUGGGUUCUGGGAACGACGGUGUCAGGCUGAGAACUACACGGACCAGCAUGCAUUGCAAACGCAGACGCCGUGGCUUUCGCCUGCUCUUUAGGACUCUCGUUUGACGUAGCGCUUUUCUAAGCGGGUCGCUGACGCGGAGGGCUGGGC